UCUCCUGUAGCUCAGCGGUAGAGCGUCCGACCAAUGUGCGGAAGCCAGUCAUAAGUAGUCUACUCCUGUUGGGGGAA
Desmophyllum pertusum is the source of this 77-nucleotide non-coding RNA. The record is from the annotation of a GenBank genome assembly. Lineage: Eukaryota; Metazoa; Cnidaria; Anthozoa; Scleractinia; Caryophylliidae.